Long non-coding RNA from Aricia agestis (brown argus), 355 nucleotides. RefSeq lists it as uncharacterized. The record is from RefSeq and is a predicted model, not a curated record. The transcript is spliced from 2 exons. Lineage: Eukaryota; Metazoa; Arthropoda; Insecta; Lepidoptera; Lycaenidae.
UACUGCACGGGGAAGUCGCUCGUCUCACGUUUAGUCUUAGUGCUCCAUCUCGAAAAUUUUAAAUUAUAAUAUACUCAGGAGCUUCUAGGGAGCUCCUGAAUUACUCGAGUAUCUUCAUCGGCUAGAGUACCAAAUAUUCGUCGAAGGAGGGACGGCGACGUCGCCGCUAAUUUUAGUCUCUCGACCGGCCAAAGCUUAAUAUCGUUCGCAGUUGUUUCACCUCCGACGGCACCUCUAUGCCGACGACAUAACGCUUACAGUCGGCGAUACUCCGAGUUGAAUUAAUUUUGAACUGAGUUCUAUUGUGACUAUUUGGUAGAGGAAAAACUUAAGACUUACCAUUUUGUGCCAAUUA